UUUCCGCAGGUGAACCUGCGGAAGGAUCAUUCAUAAUAAGUGUUUUAUGGCACUUUUUUAAAUCCAUACCCACCUUGUGUGCAAUGUCAGGGUUAGUCGCUUUUGAUCAGCCCCAAACAUCAACUAUUAUCUCAACUCUUUGUCUGAAAAAUAUUAUGAAUAAAACAAUUCAAAAUACAACUUUCAACAACGGAUCUCUUGGCUCUC
This 207-nucleotide unclassified non-coding RNA is filed under the name plant metagenome. Its description in RNAcentral is "partial contains small subunit ribosomal RNA, internal transcribed spacer 1, and 5.8S ribosomal RNA". The record is from RNAcentral.